This 422-nucleotide ribosomal RNA is filed under the name uncultured bacterium. RNAcentral describes it as "bacterial SSU rRNA". It matches the Rfam family "Bacterial small subunit ribosomal RNA", at positions 355 to 774 of the family's 1533-position model. The record is from RNAcentral.
UAAGGAAUAUUGGUCAAUGGAGGCCACUCUGAACCAGCCAUGCCGCGUGCAGGAAGACGGCCCUCUGGGUUGUAAACUGCUUUUAUUCGGGAAUAAACCUGCUUACGUGUAAGUAGCUGAAUGUACCGAAGGAAUAAGGAUCGGCUAACUCCGUGCCAGCAGCCGCGGUAAUACGGAGGAUCCAAGCGUUAUCCGGAUUUAUUGGGUUUAAAGGGUGCGUAGGCGGCUUAUUAAGUCAGGGGUGAAAGACGGUGGCUCAACCAUCGCAGUGCCCUUGAUACUGAUGAGCUUGAACGGACUAGAGGUAGGCGGAAUGUGACAAGUAGCGGUGAAAUGCAUAGAUAGGUCACAGAACACCGAUUGCGAAGGCAGCUUACUAUGGUUGAUUUGACUCUGAGGCACAAAAGGGCGGUGAUCAAACA